GCGCGAGUGGCGGAAUUGGCAGACGCGCACGGUUCAGGUCCGUGUGUCCGUAAGGGCUUGGGGGUUCAAGUCCCCCCUCGCGCACCA
This 87-nucleotide transfer RNA is filed under the name Actinomycetes bacterium. RNAcentral's name for it is "tRNA-Leu". It matches the Rfam family "tRNA". Rfam says of the family: Transfer RNA (tRNA) molecules are approximately 80 nucleotides in length. The record is from RNAcentral. Lineage: Bacteria; Bacillati; Actinomycetota; Actinomycetes.